CCUACGGGGGGCUGCAGUGAGGAAUAUUGGUCAAUGGGCGCGAGCCUGAACCAGCCAAGCAGCGUGAGGGAUGAAGGUCCUACGGGUUGUAAACUUCUUUUGUAAAGGAAUAAAGUCAGGCACGUGUGCCUUGUUGUAUGUACUUUAUGAAUAAGGAUCGGCUAACUCCGUGCCAGCAGCCGCGGUAAUACGGAGGAUCCGAGCGUUAUCCGGAUUUAUUGGGUUUAAAGGGAGCGUAGAUGGGUUGUUAAGUCAGUUGUGAAAGUUCGGGGCUCAACCGUAAAAUUGCAAUUGAUACUGGCAGCCUGGAGUACAGGUGAGGUAGGCGGAAUUCGUGGUGUAGCGGUGAAAUGCUUAGAUAUCACGAAGAACUCCGAUUGCGAAGGCAGCUUACUAGACUGCCACUGACAUUGAUGCUCGAAAGCGUGGGUAUCAAACAGGAUUAGAUACCCGAGUAGUC
RNAcentral lists this ribosomal RNA (460 nucleotides) under uncultured bacterium. RNAcentral describes it as "partial 16S ribosomal RNA". It matches the Rfam family "Bacterial small subunit ribosomal RNA", at positions 338 to 795 of the family's 1533-position model. The record is from RNAcentral.